AUUGAACGCUGGCGGCAGGCCUAACACAUGCAAGUCGAGCGAGCGGCGGACGGGUGAGUAAUGUCUGGGAAACUGCCUUAUGGAGGGGGAUAACUACUGGAAACGGUAGCUAAUACCGGAUACCAUCAGAUGUUCCCAGAUGGGUUUAGCUUGUAGGUGGGGUAACGGCUCACCUAGGCGACGAUCCCUAGCUGGUCUGAGAGGAUGACCAGCACAACUGGAACGGAGACAGGGUCCAGAUGCCUAGGGGAGGAAGAAGUGGGGAAUAUUGCACAAUGGGCGCAAGCCUGAUACAGCAAGGCCGCGUGUGUGAAGAAGGCUUUCGGGUUGUAAAGCAUUUUCAGCGGGGAGGCGGUACCCGAAGAAGAAGCAACGGCUAACUCCGUGCCAGCAGCCGCGGUAAUUC
Molecule: ribosomal RNA, 406 nt
Filed under: uncultured bacterium
Lineage: Bacteria
Description: partial 16S ribosomal RNA
Rfam family: Bacterial small subunit ribosomal RNA
Source: RNAcentral